AUAGGAUAAGUAGACAUAUCUUGCACAAAGAAGUUUUUCUCAUCACUAAUAUCUCCUAUUAUAACCUAUUAUAUUGAGAAAAGACAUCCUUCUAGAGUGGAUCUCACUGAAAACUUAAGACAUAUGUGCCCUAAGGUCAUGGUCGAAUGUCUCAGCUGUGGGGCAAAGAUCCCAAUGAAGUCCAGCCUGAGCGAUGCCUUGAGGGUAGUAUAUUCAUCCCUGUAUCUCCAUCAGUAUUUCCUGCUUUCCAGGCUUGUAAUUCGUGUCCUGCCUUAUCCCCAGUCCAGAUAGGUGCAUAAACUUUCUUCUGGGUGAUAAGUAUAUUGACUGAUGCCGAACAUUUGCACUGUUUAGCCAGGCUGGUCCUCGCAUCUGCAUUGGCAUCAAAUCGGCGGCCUUGCAUAUGAAGAUGGCCACGGCAGAUUUUUAUGUCGGUUGUCAAGUUCAGAAUUGAUGCGUGGUCACCCUGUGGAUUGCCAACCGACCGCCAACUUUUCCAUACAAAAAAGAACUGCACUGGGUAGAGAGAAGGCAAUGUUUAAAUAAAUGUGUCCCUCGUUUGUUUCUACCCCGCCUUCAUCACAAUAACAAACUUCGUGUGUAUCAGAAUUAGUUCGGAGUUAUGAAAUUUGUAUCUUCAAGCACAAAAAUAGUUCGUGAAAAUCUAACAAAUUUUUAUUUUAUUUAUUUAAUUAUUAAUAACUUGAAUGUGAAUACUAGAUAAUGCUCUCCAGCUUGUAAAUGUCCAUUGUUUAUAUUUUCAAUAUUUAUGUAUACGUGCCAUUCAUUAUACGUAUAUUGAAAAUAUUUAUGUAUACGUGCCAUAUACAAAAGCAUUAUUAAUUGUUGAUUCAGGGUAAUUUAAAAUUAGCAUAUGCUUGGAAGACAACAUAUACUAAAUAAUCCGUACACGGGUUUAGGAACUUACCUCUCAACUGCAAUACAUCGGAGCAAAAGAUGGAUAGCAGAAUAAAAAAGGUGGUUUACGGUGUGUGCUAUACCAAAGCUAUCAGAACUAGGGAAUUAAUUAUAGGGGACUCCCAUUGAAUUUACUGUGAAGGGAAACACUUGAACCUAUGACAAACAUAGAUGAGGAUGCAAUACAAGCUAAUCUUAUCAAAGUCCUCUAAUACUUAAUUACAGCUGGAUCAUAUUUGCUAAAAAUGAAAUAAUGAAUUUAUAGAACCAGAAUGUCCGGGAAAAAAUACGAUUCUAACAUUAUCUGACAUUGCCAACGAAGAAGCUUAAUCAUUCUAAGCAUUCUAGGUAAUGCUGAUCUUGACCAAUGUCAAUGCUUCGACCUACACAAAUAGUCUACAAUAAAUACCUGCUUUCAAUUACCAACUAAAAAAAAAAAAAUCCAGUGGGAGACACAACAGCAAAUGAAUUCAGAAGCCCUCAAUAUCCGUUCUGAGACAACAACACAGAUAUGUAUAUGUACACGAUUAUUCGUCUGAUAACCAACAUCCGUUCUAUCGAGAUUGUGAAGAAUCAACGAGGUGCUUAAGAGUGCAAGGCAUCUUGUUCCACAUAUUCGGUUAGCACAAAUUUUUAGAAGUCAGCCUCAUGAAAGAUAAAUCAAAAGAAACAGCAGGAACCACUUACGUUAAUUGUCAAGAACUCACACUUCCCAACAUCUUCCACAUCCCACCACCAGCAUUCGCAGGUUGAUGGAAGACGUUACGAGCCCACCUCAUGUAAUGUGGGCCACAAAGCCGACAACCCUCAUCUGACAAAGCAAUGCCCCAAGACAAUCUGUACAAAAGGGAUCAAUGCCAUCAUGUAACCGUGCCAUAAAAAAGAUCUUCCAACUUGACUCAUUCAAACCCUGCGAUUCCAUAUAUCCUUGUAAUCAACCAGGUGUCAGACAACGACAUCACAGCCAGCACGCGCAAUAAAAAGUAGGCCACAACUAUAUUCCAAGCAUAAUCGAGUAGCUGACAAAUGCAAACCAACGAACUUACCCCAAACGGCUUACUACGGCAGUACCCUGAAACCGUCAAAUUUUCCAAGGAAACUAUAACAAAGAAAUGUGUGUAUUUAUAUGAAUGCUCCACAGGCUUGAAAUUUUCAAACUACAUUGUACAUAGGACCAACCAGCAAAACUAAGGAUCAAUGUGUCUUCCUAAACCAACUAGAAGUACAUCGAGGAUUCCUUCCAACAAGAAGACCUACUGCAACUGAUCAAGCUCAACAAUGUCUGCACCACAUAUCACUUCCACCUCCUCCGUCUCCUACUCUCCAUUACCCAUCCCCCCUUCCACCCUCCAUUCCAAUCAUCACCAUCCACAUCCACAACUCUCUGCACGCCAAAAUGUAAUUCUCCAAUAAAUAUAACCAUAGCACCACCUCGUCCCUAAAUCUGUUCAGAAUCUAGUGAUUACCGUAUCUCUCUCCAUGGUGCACAUCUUAACCAUGUAGUCUCCACUACUUUACUACACAACAGAGUUCUGAAAAAAUCAAGUGGUAUCGGACAUUCCAAUUCCUACGCAACCAAAAUAAACACAGAAGACCGCCUCCUACCCACUGCUUCCUCUAACUCUCGGCCCUCCCCCUCCUCCCCUACCCCUUCUCCUACACCACACCUACUGGCAGGUCACUCCAUUCCCAUCCGACCACUCGAUCGGCUCCUCGCCGCCUGUGGCUCCACAUUUCUGGACCAUGGUCAUGCAGCCAAAAUCCUGCCGCCUUUACUUUAACACUAGGUCGACACGCCUGCGCCCAUCCCAACACAAUCCCAUCGUCAGCCCCGCAACACAAAUCCCGCCACAAAUCACCCUCCCACCACCACUUCCUUCACGCAUCGCACGCACCUACUACCCGCCCCACAUCUCUACCCAUCAUGCGCUACCUCGACACCGCUCUUACCACUACUCUCCACCAUCUAAG
RNAcentral lists this long non-coding RNA (2889 nucleotides) under Physcomitrium patens. RNAcentral's name for it is "long non-coding RNA (PPAT_LNC000704)". Lineage: Eukaryota; Viridiplantae; Streptophyta; Bryopsida; Funariales; Funariaceae. The record is from RNAcentral.